RNAcentral lists this ribosomal RNA (497 nucleotides) under uncultured bacterium. Its description in RNAcentral is "partial 16S ribosomal RNA". It matches the Rfam family "Bacterial small subunit ribosomal RNA", at positions 28 to 507 of the family's 1533-position model. The record is from RNAcentral.
GAUGAACGCUGGCGGCGUGCCUAAUACAUGCAAGUCGAGCGAACAGACGAGGCGCUUGCUCCUCUGACGUUAGCGGCGGACGGGUGAGUAACACGUGGAUAACCUACCUAUAAGACUGGGAUAACUUCGGGAAACCGGAGCUAAUACCGGAUAAUAUAUUGAACCGCAUGGUUCAAUAGUGAAAGACGGCUUUGCUGUCACUUAUAGAUGGAUCCGCGCCGCAUUAGCUAGUUGGUAAGGUAACGGCUUACCAAGGCAACGAUGCGUAGCCGACCUGAGAGGGGGAUCGGCCACACGGGAACUGAGACACGGUCCAGACUCCUACGGGAGGCAGCAGUAGGGAAUCUUCCGCAAUGGGCGAAAGCCUUACGGAGCAACGCCGCGUGAGUGAUGAAGAUCUUCGGAGCGUAAAACUCUGUUAUUAGGGAAAAACAAAUGUGUAAGUAACUAUGCACGUCUUGACGGUACCUAAUCAGAAAGCCACGGCUAACUACGUG